Molecule: microRNA precursor, 80 nt
Organism: Medicago truncatula (barrel medic)
Lineage: Eukaryota; Viridiplantae; Streptophyta; Magnoliopsida; Fabales; Fabaceae
Rfam family: MIR5269 microRNA precursor family
Source: Rfam
UUGGGUUAAAUCAAUGUGGGUCAUACACUUUGGAAAUGGAACUCACAUAAAAUGGUGGAAUAUACAUUGAUUUUAUCCAU